Molecule: ribosomal RNA, 353 nt
Filed under: Thiobacillaceae bacterium
Lineage: Bacteria; Pseudomonadati; Pseudomonadota; Betaproteobacteria; Nitrosomonadales; Thiobacillaceae
Description: partial 23S ribosomal RNA
Rfam family: Bacterial large subunit ribosomal RNA
Source: RNAcentral
CUGUUCGCCAUUUAAAGAGGUACGUGAGCUGGGUUCAAAACGUCGUGAGACAGUUUGGUCCCUAUCUGCCGUGGGCGCUGGAGAUUUGACGGGGGCUGCUCCUAGUACGAGAGGACCGGAGUGGACGCACCUCUGGUGUACCGGUUAUCACGCCAGUGGUAUCGCCGGGUAGCUAAGUGCGGAAGAGAUAAACGCUGAAAGCAUCUAAGCGUGAAACUCGCCUGAAGAUGAGAUCUCCCGGAGGCUUGACCUCCUUGAAGGGUCGUUGAAGACCACAACGUUGAUAGGCUGGGUGUGGAAGCGCGGUAACGCGUUAAGCUAACCAGUACUAAUUGCCCGUACGGCUUGACCCU